RNAcentral lists this ribosomal RNA (494 nucleotides) under uncultured bacterium. RNAcentral's name for it is "partial 16S ribosomal RNA". It matches the Rfam family "Bacterial small subunit ribosomal RNA", at positions 28 to 507 of the family's 1533-position model. The record is from RNAcentral.
GACGAACGCUGGCGGCGUGCUUAACACAUGCAAGUCGAACGGAAAGGCCUGCUUUCCCUUGUGGAUUGCGGGUACUCGAGUGGCGAACGGGUGAGUAACACGUGAGUGAUCUGCCCCCAACUUGGGUAUAAGCCUGGGAAACUGGGUCUAAUUCCCGAUAGGACUGCAGGGUGGUGCGUGUGGUGGUAAACGAUUUUCUAGUGGUUGGGGAUGAGCUCGCGGCCUAUCAGCUUGGUGGUGGGGUAAUGGCCUACCAAGGCGGCGACGGGUAGCCGGCCUGAGAGGGUGGACGGUCACAUUGGGACUAGGAGACGGCCCAGACGCCUACGGGAGGCAGCAGUGGGGAAUAUGGCACAAUGGGCGGAAGCCUGAUGCAGCGACGCCGCGUGGAGGAUGACGGCCUUCGGGUUGUAAACUCCUUUCGACCGAGAGGAAGCCACCUGGUUGGAAGGGUGGUGACGGUAGUGGUAGAAGAAGCACCGGCUAACUACGUG